RNAcentral lists this ribosomal RNA (253 nucleotides) under uncultured bacterium. RNAcentral describes it as "partial 16S ribosomal RNA". It matches the Rfam family "Bacterial small subunit ribosomal RNA", at positions 524 to 776 of the family's 1533-position model. The record is from RNAcentral.
UACGGAGGGUGCAAGCGUUAUCCGGAUUUAUUGGGCUUAAAGGGUGAGUAGGCGGAUUAUUAAGUCUGCGGUGAAAUCUCCGAGCUCAACUCGGAAACUGCCAUUGAUACUAUUAGUCUUGAAUAUUGUUGAGGUAGGCGGAACGGGUCAUGUAGCGGUGAAAUGCAUAGAUAUGACCCGGAACACCGAUUGCGAAGGCAGCCCACUAAGCAAUGAUUGACGCUGAGGCACGAAAGCGUGGGGAUCAAACAGG